CUCAGAAGGUUUAGAAGAGCCUCAACUUCUUCAAGCAGAAGCAAUGGCAGGAGCUAUGAAUUUUUCUGAUUUUAAGUGUGAAAUUCCCGAACUGAAUGUUGAAAACUAUAAGGUGUGGAAGGACCGAAUUCUUCUUUAUUUAGGGUUGAUGGAUAUUAAUUAUGCUAUUCGGAAAAACGAACCACCUUCUAUUACAGAAACUAGCCUUCCAGAUGAUGUUGAUCGUUAUGAAAUGUGGGAAUGAUCCAAUCGUCUCAGUGUGAAGUUCAUAAUGACCAACAUCUCGACUAGUAUUCAUGGUUGUUUUGAUCGACAUAAUAAUGUCCGAGCAUUACUUAAGGCCAUUGAUGAACAUUUUGUACCAUUUGAUAAGGCACUUGUAAGCACCCUUAUUAUGGAGUUUUCAACUAUUAAGCUCAUCCAUAUGAAAGGUGUGUGUGAGCACAUUAUGCGAAUGAGUGAUAUUGCAGCACAACUAAAGACACUUGAGGUUGACAUGUCUGAAUCUUUCCUUAUUCAUUAUAUUUUGAAUACCCUUCCACCUCCGUAUGAACCACUAAAAAUUUCUUACAACACACAUAAAGAAAAAAUGGUCAAUUAAUGAACUCUUGACCCUGUGUGUUCAAAAAGAAGAAAGGUUUGCGGUGGAAAUGAAUGGGUAUAUUUUGAUGAAGAUAGUGGGAAAGGACAUGAUUUCGAACCAAGCCAAGGAAAAGGGGAAAGGUAAAAUACCUCCCGAUGGUGGAAUUAAGAAAAAGUCCAAGUGUUCAUUUUCUAAUAUGAAUGGACACAUAAAGAAGGAUUGUUCUGAAUUUCAGAAAUGGUUUGAAAAUAAAGGGUAUGACAAGCCUAAGGAAACCACUUCUAAUUGAGCAAUGCAUCUAUUCAGGAAUCAAGAUGCGUUCAUGUGGAGGUUGUUUGAACAUGCGAUUUAGCUUUAAGUAGUGGCUUUGUUUUAAAUUUGGAAAAGACAUUUUAUGUUCCUAGU
Molecule: long non-coding RNA, 988 nt
Organism: Medicago truncatula (barrel medic)
Lineage: Eukaryota; Viridiplantae; Streptophyta; Magnoliopsida; Fabales; Fabaceae
Exons: 3
Source: RefSeq, a predicted model, not a curated record